GAUGAACGCUGGCGGCGUGCCUAAUACAUGCAAGUCGAGCGAACAGAUGAGGAGCUUGCUCCUCUGACGUUAGCGGCGGACGGGUGAGUAACACGUGGAUAACCUACCUAUAGACUGGGAUAACUUCGGGAAACCGGAGCUAAUACCGGAUAAUAUAUUGAACCGCAUGGUUCAAUAGUGAAAGACGGUUUUGCUGUCACUUAUAGAUGGAUCCGCGCCGCAUUAGCUAGUUGGUAAGGUAACGGCUUACCAAGGCAACGAUGCGUAGCCGACCUGAGAGGGUGAUCGGCCACACUGGAACUGAGACACGGUCCAGACUCCUACGGGAGGCAGCAGUAGGGAAUCCUCCGCAAUGGGCGAAAGCCUGACGGAGCAACGCCGCGUGAGUGAUGAAGGUCUUCGGAUCGUAAAACUCUGUUAUUAGGGAAGAACAAAUGUGUAAGUAACUAUGCACGUCUUGACGGUACCUAAUCAGAAAGCCACGGCUAACUACGU
RNAcentral lists this ribosomal RNA (495 nucleotides) under uncultured bacterium. Its description in RNAcentral is "partial 16S ribosomal RNA". It matches the Rfam family "Bacterial small subunit ribosomal RNA", at positions 28 to 506 of the family's 1533-position model. The record is from RNAcentral.